RNAcentral lists this microRNA (23 nucleotides) under Ixodes scapularis (black-legged tick). RNAcentral's name for it is "Isc-Mir-92_5p* (star (passenger))". RNAcentral also lists the same sequence under 1 other name. Lineage: Eukaryota; Metazoa; Arthropoda; Arachnida; Ixodida; Ixodidae. The record is from RNAcentral.
AGGUCUGGAUGAGUGCCAAUGUU